AAUGAGGCUGCUAAUCCCCGUUAACCUGUUACUGACCCCCCAAUGGGGCCCCCACCAAAGGUGUGACCUGGAGACUGGGUGAAAACAAGCAAAACAGCAGAGCUUACAAUUGAUCUGACAGUUACACUGAGCUUCACUCCAGGGUUCUCUCUAGAUGUUCAUCCUCCUCUUCAGCUCUGCAAGGAUACAUAGAGAAUGCUCAGAAGCACAGCCCCCUGCAUGGCUAAAUCAGUGCCUGACCAGCGGCUACAUUAGUGGGCUCUACAUGUAAAGGGGUUAGACAGAGACUUGCCCCCUAACAAUGAGGCUGCU
Long non-coding RNA from Xenopus tropicalis (tropical clawed frog), 312 nucleotides. RefSeq lists it as uncharacterized. The transcript has 3 exons. Lineage: Eukaryota; Metazoa; Chordata; Amphibia; Anura; Pipidae. The record is from RefSeq and is a predicted model, not a curated record.